Molecule: ribosomal RNA, 390 nt
Filed under: uncultured bacterium
Lineage: Bacteria
Description: bacterial SSU rRNA
Rfam family: Bacterial small subunit ribosomal RNA
Source: RNAcentral
GACGAACGCUGGCGGCGUGCUUAACACAUGCAAGUCGAGCGGUAAGGCCCUUUCGGGGGUACACGAGCGGCGAACGGGUGAGUAACACGUGGGUGACCUGCCCUCAGCUCUGGGAUAAGCCUGGGAAACUGGGUCUAAUACCGGAUAUGACUCCAUGACGCAUGUUGUGGGGUGGAAAGCCUUGUGCGGCUGAGGAUGGGCCCGCGGCCUAUCAGCUUGUUGGUGGGGUGANGGCCUACCAAGGCGACGACGGGUAGCCGGCCUGAGAGGGCGACCGGCCACACUGGGACUGAGACACGGCCCCGACUCCUACGGGAGGCAGCAGUGGGGAAUCUUGCGCAAUGGGCGAAAGCCUGACGCAGCGACGCCGCGUGAGGGAUGACGGCCUGG